GUGCUCACUUUGGCAGCACAUCUGCUCAAAUUGGAACAAUACUGAGAAGAUUAGCAUGGCCCUGUGCAAGGAUGACACUCAUAUUUGUCAUGUGUUCCAUACAAAA
This is a small nuclear RNA of Talpa occidentalis (Iberian mole), 106 nucleotides long. The record is from RefSeq and is a predicted model, not a curated record. NCBI's taxonomy places the organism in Eukaryota, Metazoa, Chordata, Mammalia, Eulipotyphla, Talpidae.